UGCAUUAUUUGACGUUACCUACAGAAGAAGCACCGGCUAACUCCGUGCCAGCAGCCGCGGUAAUACGGAGGGUGCGAGCGUUAAAUCGGAAUUACUGGGCGUAAAGCGCAUGCAGGCGGCCUGUUAAGUCAGAUGUGAAAGCCCCGGGGCUUAACCUCGGAAUUGCAUUUGAAACUGGCAGGCUAGAGUCUUGUAGAGGGGGUAGAAUUUCAGGUGUAGCGGUGAAAUGCGUAGAGAUCUGAAGGAAUACCAGUGGCGAAGGCGGCCCCCUGGACAAAGACUGACGCUCAGAUGCGAAAGCGUGGGGAGCAAACAGGAUUAGAUACCCCUGGUAG
This 335-nucleotide ribosomal RNA is filed under the name uncultured bacterium. RNAcentral's name for it is "bacterial SSU rRNA". It matches the Rfam family "Bacterial small subunit ribosomal RNA", at positions 461 to 793 of the family's 1533-position model. The record is from RNAcentral.